CUGCCCAGCACCGCCAGCCGCUCUCUCCCCUUCUUCUUCUCCUCCUCCUCCCCCCACUAAUGCACAACUGCACAUAAAGGUCGUCUGGUUUGGAUUGAAAUGAAACCAGGCUGCCUGUCUGAUGCCUCUUCCUCCUCCUAAAAACAGCAACAGGGCUUACAAGGAGAAGUAGCCUAGGCAAGACCUUAAAAGAACUCAACCUGGGCCGCAUGUCAGAAACAAGCGGUAGCGGCAGCGGCAGCGGAGCAACGAGAACAAUAACAAACUGGAGGAAGAUAAGGGACAAGUAACAUUAGUGGUGCCAUAGCAACAACUUCAAGCCCAGAUGUCUGCACCAUCACCAAAGAUCUUUUUCUUUCCAAACUAAGCAGCAAACAGUAAAAAUCCUUUUGUUGUCAGACUGAAGACAGACUACAUGUUGAUCCAUCAUUUCUGGUAUUUUCUUUGCUCUCAACCAUCACAGAGGGUGACCUCCCAUGAGCCUUUGCAAACAGAACCAGAGGGCCCCAGGGCACCUCUCUCCUAGUCCCUCUCUCUGCCCCAGUCACACCACAGCAGUAGCAGCACUUACCAACCAAAAUAUCAAAACAACAACAUCUACAGUGACCAGAAAAAGUCAGUGGCUGAAAACAGCAGCAGCAGAGGAGCUGUCGUCAAC
Monopterus albus (swamp eel) is the source of this 658-nucleotide long non-coding RNA. RefSeq lists it as uncharacterized. Lineage: Eukaryota; Metazoa; Chordata; Actinopteri; Synbranchiformes; Synbranchidae. The transcript has 3 exons. The record is from RefSeq and is a predicted model, not a curated record.